Clupea harengus (Atlantic herring) is the source of this 2824-nucleotide long non-coding RNA. The record is from Ensembl. NCBI's taxonomy places the organism in Eukaryota, Metazoa, Chordata, Actinopteri, Clupeiformes, Clupeidae.
GUGUGUGUGUGUACCUGUCUAUGUAACAUUGACUUUUUUUUUUUUCUUGUCUCGUGGCCCUUGUGGGCUCAUGUGUUCUUUAGUGAGAUAAGCAAUCAUCCAGUGUUUGGAGACCAGUUUCACCUGAUGACUCCCAAGCAUCCGUUGUUCUACCUCAUCUUCUUCACUGUCUGCCACUCUAUACCGGACUCACAACACAGAAUCUCCAGCAGCUAAAUGUGCUCAGUCGGUCAAUCUGUUACCCAAUCUUUUUUUGGGGGGGGGAGGUUGAGGUUGAGGAAAGCCCUAGGUUACCCUACCAAGCCCAGGAAGACCUGUAGUGUCACCCUACACAUCACGUAGCCCUAGUCCAGAGUGCAGAAAAUCCCAGGGUUGGUUGGUUGGUUGGUUGAAAUAGGAGCCAGUAUGGGACCAGUAGUGGGUGAUUAAGCAUGGCCUUCAAUAGGCCUACUUGGGCUUCUUAGAGAUGGUCAUUUGAAUUUUGUCCAAGACCAAGGAGUUUUACUUCACAUUUGGCCCGAGAUCCAGUUUUAUAUGCGUUACUCUUUUAUUUGAAUAUAUAUAUAUAUAAUAUAUAUAUGUUUUGGAAAUUGCUAGUUGCUUUCCCAUAUGGCUCAUGUCAUUUUGUCUGUGAAAUGUCCUACACAGAGGGGUUGAAUGGAUAUAUAUAUUAAUAUCGCUGGUAAUGUUUCUCUGUGUGGAAUGGGUGUCUUAUGGAAUGUGGAUUGGUUCAGGGGUGGACUCCUGUCCACAGCCUCUCUGUGCUCAGAGUAAUGUCGAGUCUCGAGUGCUUACUGACCUGCAGUUUCUCUGUAAUGUCUUAUUUUUGCCAAACGUGCCAAAGCACAAGGCCCUCCUAGAGAAGACUCGCCCCGUGCUUGUGUCUUAAAGCUGUAGGUCGAAUUCAAGCUUGUCUUAAGUUUCGUUUUGAGAUUGAGGUCUUAUUUCAGAGAGGUGAAUGGGGUUUCUUAAGACUCGUAAGGAGCUGGCCAAGAGUAGCUGCUUCUGUCUAGGCAUCAUUUCAAACAACACUGUCUUGUCAUUUCAUGACGUCAUGGGUAAUUAACACAAACACACACUGUGUGUCUGUGUGUGUGUGUGUGUGUGUGCGUGUCUGUGUGUCCAUGUUUUCAGAAUGAACACGAGCCUUUAUGUGACUGAAAUAUAGUGUAAAUGCUGUAACCUUGUAUUUUAUUAUUUUUAUGUUGGUGUAUUUUUGUUGUGCUUUUGCGAGGAGACUGAGGCAUAGAUGGUGACAUUAAGUGCUGCAGUCUGGUGGGCUUUCUCCCACUGACUUUAGGUUUGACCAUUUCGGAUAGAUUUAUUAUAUAUCUCCACAAGUAUGCCCCCCAAUUUGAGUAUUUUACCAGGAGUCCAUGUCCGGUUCUAUUCGGGGAGCAGAACUAAGCUAAUGCAGCACAGCAUUCCCUUAAAGUAUGACCGCUUGGAUCAUCAUGCACCUGGUGGUUCAGGUAUAUGCAGUUUUGGGUUUAUAAGCAUUUUCCUAUUCCUUCCUGUCAAACUGCUGUUUCAGGGUCAAGGACAUCUGCCCCCUGGUGGCCGUGGUUGCCUCUGUUAUACAGGGCUGAAGGGGAGCGCAUGCCUGUCCUGUUUGUGGAGAGGGUCAUUACUUCCUCAUCUGCAUUGAACACUUUCAGCUACAUCUCUGUGUGUACUUUUGUCAUCUAUGUACUGCUGGUGUAGGAAGUGAGAAUGUGUGCACAGUCAGACCAAACAGCUAGAGAGAGCUAGUGUGUGUGUGUCUGUCUAGUCAGAGUUGAUGUGUCUCAAUUGUCUUUCUCGUUCUUUGUUUUGAUUUGUGUCAUGUGAUGUUGUGAGUGUGGGCGUCGUCCUCAUAUGAUGCACUUUAUCCAAUCCUCAGCCCACUCUGUCGCAUUGUGACCAUUGUUGACAUGCUGAUUCAAACAUAUACACACACACACAUACACCUUUGCAGGGUUUUUUGUUUGUCUGUUUUUGUCCCAUCCGACAGAUUUGCUUAAGGCUGUAUCAGGCUGUACAGGCAGUGAUGCACCUGCUGUUUAAAGUUCCCCUUCUUUCCCCUCUUUAUUUCAACCCAAAUAUCCACACGUUAGGACACCUAAGGAGAGUCAUGGUGAUUCCCUCACGCAGUAACUUCAAUCCAAACAGAAACCUUUUCGUUCUUUUUUUUUUUUUUUUUUUCUUCUUGUUCCACAUCGCAGGUGAUUUCUAUGCAAUGUUUUCAUUUUCGUUGUCUGUGUGUUUUUCGUGAGUCAUAAGGAUAAACAGAAGCAGAAGGGAGAGAGAGAAACGUACUUGUGACCAGUGAGACGUGCAAGCUUCUCAGGCCCCACUUUGGAAAGGUAAAGAUCCACACGUGCUGCCUCCGGGUUGAAGAGGGGGGUUCCUAGGACAGGGUUGUGUUUCAGUCGGAUGGAUAAUCAGGACCGGUUUGCUUAGGCCACUUUCCUUUUGAAGAUGCAUUGGCUAGCCUUGCUGUGGGAGGUUCUGGUUCUGAUGAACUCACAGGAGGCAUGGUCCUGGUCUGUGUGUCGCCACAUUGUUGCGGUAGAGUCUUGCUGCAUGGGUCCAUGUUUAAAAAAAAAAAAAAAGUUUAAAAAAAUAAACUAAAAAGUCCAAUCCUAAGACUGUAACAGAGCAACUCUAAGAUGUGAAACACUGUACUAUUGAUGUUGUAAAUGGGACAUAAAAAGAAAAGAAUAUUUUAAAUCUGUGUAAAUAAACAAAUGUACAAAAGAGUGUGAGGCAAUAUAAAGAUCAGUCUGCAAUGCAGAGAGAAAUUAAUAUGUAUAUUGGUGAAUAAAUCUUGUGCUGUAAAGAA